RNAcentral lists this ribosomal RNA (468 nucleotides) under uncultured bacterium. RNAcentral's name for it is "partial 16S ribosomal RNA". It matches the Rfam family "Bacterial small subunit ribosomal RNA", at positions 28 to 507 of the family's 1533-position model. The record is from RNAcentral.
GACGAACGCUGGCGGCGUGCUUAACACAUGCAAGUCGAACGGAAAGGCCCUGCUUUUGUGGGGUGCUUGAGUGGCGAACGGGUGAGUAACACGUGAGUAACCUGCCCUUGACUUUGGGAUAACUUCAGGAAACUGGGGCUAAUACCGGAUAGGAGCUCCUGCUGCAUGGUGGGGGUUGGAAAGUUUCGGCGGUUGGGAAUGGACUCGCGGCUUAUCAGCUUGUUGGUGGGGUAGUGGCUUACCAAGGCUUUGACGGGUAGCCGGCCUGAGAGGGUGACCGGCCACAUUGGGACUGAGAUACGGCCCAGACUCCUACGGGAGGCAGCAGUGGGGAAUAUUGCACAAUGGGCGGAAGCCUGAUGUAGCAACGCCGCGUGCGGGAUGACGGCCUUCGGGUUGUAAACCGCUUUCGCCUGUGACGAAGCGUGAGUGACGGUAAUGGGUAAAGAAGCACCGGCUAACUACGUG